GAUGACAGCCACAGAAUGAGUUUAGAGCUCAGAAUGACAGGCGGCACUUUCAUAAUACAUGACAAUACCACUAGUGGGAAUGCAGAUCUUAGGCAGUGUAUAAAGCCUGAAGAGACUUGUGUGAUGUUACCCCGCAGAACAUCCAGUUAUUCCUUGGAUUCCUUAUUCAUGAAAAACUUGGUGAUCCUCGAACAACAAGAGCUCUACCUGACUGGAAUUCCUAGUGCUCCCAGCUGAAGGUGUGGUGUAUGUGAUGCUUGAAAUUAAACUGUAAAAACCUGACUUCAGCAUGAAUGGGGAUGGAGAAGAGAUGGCAGGAUAUUGCUUGUCAUGCUUAUGUUACUGAAAGCACACAAUUUCCUUCAAAUGAAAACACAGGGGUUUCAGCCCUGCAGAUAUUAGUAUCAUGUUGGAGCCUGCCUUCAUUUUGGGCCCCCACUUUGAGAUCAACUCAGACACCAGCUUUGAUAAGAACCACAUCUCUAAGAUGAGGUCUGUAUUCCAUCUAUAUUGUAUAAACAUGCUUUGAACAUUUUGCAACAGCAGAGAGCUUAAAAAAGAAACAGAAAACAAUUAAACUUACUCUAAGUUGAUAGGAUCUCAGUUCAUAAAUAUUAGGCCCCGCUCUGGGAACAGGUUCAUUCCAGAAACUAAACUCCAACAACAACUGGUUCUUGCGGGACAGGAGCAUGUUACCUCUUUCUUUGCGGAACUCUGUGAAUUCCUAAAAACCAAUGGGAUCACUGUCAAUGUGUGUGUUCUGUUUCAACAACAAAAAGCAGUCUACCAUG
Neopsephotus bourkii (Bourke's parrot) is the source of this 791-nucleotide long non-coding RNA. RefSeq lists it as uncharacterized. The record is from RefSeq and is a predicted model, not a curated record. NCBI's taxonomy places the organism in Eukaryota, Metazoa, Chordata, Aves, Psittaciformes, Psittacidae. The transcript is spliced from 3 exons.